UACAGAGGGUGCAAGCGUUAAUCGGAAUUACUGGGCGUAAAGCGUGCGCAGGCGGUUAUGUAAGACAGAUGUGAAAUGCCCGGGCUCAACCUGGGAACUGCAUUUGGGACUGCAAGGCUAGAGUGUGUCAGAGGGGGGUAGAAUUCCACGUGUAGCAGUGAAAUGCGUAGAGAUGUGGAGGAAUACCGAUGGCGAAGGCAGCCCCCUGGGAUAACACUGACGCUCAUGCACGAAAGCGUGGGGAGCAAACAGGAUUAGAUACCCCAGUAGU
RNAcentral lists this ribosomal RNA (271 nucleotides) under uncultured bacterium. Its description in RNAcentral is "partial 16S ribosomal RNA". It matches the Rfam family "Bacterial small subunit ribosomal RNA", at positions 524 to 794 of the family's 1533-position model. The record is from RNAcentral.